AUGGCCAUAUCACAUUGAAACACCAGUUCUUGUAUGAUCACUGAAGUUAAACAAAAUCAACUCUGCUCAGCACCUAGAUGGGUGACCACUUGGGAAUACCAGGUGCUGUAA
Non-coding RNA from Acanthosepion pharaonis, 111 nucleotides. The record is from the annotation of a GenBank genome assembly. Lineage: Eukaryota; Metazoa; Mollusca; Cephalopoda; Sepiida; Sepiidae.